AUGGGCAGCAAAAGAUCGCACCGGCCACCUCCUCCCUGUGCCCAUGCUCUGCUUCUGAUCUUUUCACAAGCAGGCAUAAUCCAUUGCUUUCUCCUCUCAAGCUUCACCAGCAAGCAGCCCUCCCUCAUCCACCAUACACACACAAGCAUGCAUACAAAGCACACAAAGCACAUCACAACAACGGCAGCUCCCCUCUCUGCUCCUCUCUUCCGCACAGCAGCAGCACACCGGCGCCCUCACAGCACAGCACCAAGCAUCACAGCAGCAGGAGCUCUGUGUCGCUAUCCUCCUGUCUACGCCGAGCCCGCGCAUUCCUCCACCGCGGCUCCGUCCUGCCAUCACCACCCGCGCCACCGGCCAUUCCCUUCCUUCUAAUCAUUCUGCCGUGGCACCGUCCUGCGUCGCCAUACGGUCGCACCCCGCUAUGCUGCGCUGUGCCACGCCGCUGAACCGCGCUCCGCCCGGCCUCAUGCUGCGUUAUGCCGUCCUAUGCUCUGCAGCCGCCCGAUCACCAAGCCGCUCGGCCGCGUGCCAUCUCCUGCGCCAUGCGGUCCCUUCCGCGCUUGGUUGACGCUGAGCCACGUCGUCGCGCACUACCGCCGUCCGCGUGUCACUGUCACGCCAUGACGCACCGCGCCACUCCCAUCGCAUAGCUCCGCCUGCUCAUCCUCUCGCUCGCGCACGCCCUUCGUGCCACCAGCCACCAGUGUGCUUCGUCGCACCGCCCGCUGCUCGGGUGAGGCCGCUGCCACCGAGAUCCUCACGACCCACGCUUGCCGCGUUCUGCAUCCCAUGCCACCGCGUCGCCCGCUGACCCGAGCCGUCGCCCGCCGCUCGGCUGGCCUAGGCACCCAACCGCUGCACCGGCUGGCCAUCUCCUUCCGCUCCACGCCCUUCGUCACCACUCGUGCCACACCGCCCGCACGCCAUCCACUCGUGCACCAUGCUCACCGCACCUUAGGCCGCCGUUGUUGUGGAGACCCCGCCGAACUUCGUCCUGGCCGGAGUCCUCCCCAUCCUAGCGCCACCUCUUGGCCGGCUCCUCUCCUCCCGCUGGCACCCACUCUUCAACCCAACCGGACUUCCUCCCUCCAGCCGACCACCUUCGGUCGCCCCUCCCUCUCUCUCCCCAGACUCUCUCGUUCUCAUCAUGAGCCACACGGGAGAAAGCAAACCGGCAAACCUUAUCUCAUUCCUCUCUCUCUAGCAGGUGGGCCCCAUCCCCCUUUGGUCCAUAAGGUCGGUCCACGGUGGACCAAACACCGAGCUCCCCCUUCAGUCUACCAGCCUACACACCGGAUCCACAGCACAGUCACCCCACCUGCCCACCAAAUUUGGUCCCUGGUGCACCGCCCUCACAAAUUUCCCUAGUUCAGCAAUUCCAUGGACCGAAUCCAUUGAACAGCUCGAAGUCAAGGUUCUAAGCUAGGGCACGAGGAAGGAACUGAAAAUGAGGCCCGAUGAAGAAGAAUCCAGGAGAUUUGAACGACAAGACCAAUUGUGAAUUGACAUUCGUCAAGAAUCGGAAGACUUCGCGGAGAACCCAGAUGAUCCAGACUUCAAACAAGACUUUGAAGCAGACUUCAUGAAGGCAAGUCCUAUUUCCUUGAUCAUAUUGAACCUAUGUUUUCAAAUAAUCUACAUGAUCAACUAAAACUGGACUUAUCAUCGCAUGAGUUAUGUAUUGUGUUUUCUUUCAAACUAAUUGUAGUGGUUAAUCCUAUCAACACUGUCAUACCUUACAUGUCAUCAUCUAGAAUACAUAUCACCAUAGAAGUACCUGUUGUUAAAUAUAUUAACGAUGGACGACACCUUGAUAUCUAGCAUGCUUAGGAUGGAAUACACCUCCUCAGAGAUAUCGCUUUUAAAAUUCCUCUCUUCGGAGAUAUCGAUUUACUGUUAUCAAUGAUAACUCAUAUACCAUGAAUACUUGAUGGUUGUGAAUUAUGUGAUGGUUGUGAAAUCAUUCAUGUCGUGUGGGAUAUGACGGGAGAUGUGUAAAAUUGGUGAAAACUAUUUUGGCGGGGGCAAGCGGGAUAGUCCUCAGAGUUGGAGGCUAUCGCGUACAUUGGGGGCUUGAGGUGAUACUCAUUGCCAACGCUGAAGAUGCCUGCCCCAGCUGCUUAAGCACCGAAUCUUGGGUCGUCAUGCUAAGCCACCCUAGUACAACCAUACGUCCUGAAUGGGCAAGACUUGACUCUUCUUUCACCGGACUGGAUUAGGCAUAAUACCAGGAGGCCUGAGAGGCAACGUCAAGCUAAGUGUUUUCAGGUUCUGCGCGAAGGAGUUUCUGCCGCAGUCGGUCAUCGGGGGUCUACCCUCUAUAUGAGACCUGAAGAACUUGAUGUAUCACGUAGAAAAGCCUAGCAUGAAAAGUGAUUGAAGUGUCUCGGUAUGAUUUCCUCAUCCACCUGCAACAGAUGGAGGCUGAGCAUAUUGUGUGGGUACAGUGUACAACCUCUGAAAGUGUAAACCUAUUAGAAUAGUCAUGUCUGCGGUCAUGGACAUUCGAAGCAUUGACCUCACUUGAUUAGUCUAAGGGAUGCGUGUGUCUUGAUGAGUGAGUAUGUGGAUUAGAUGUCCGUGUUAUGAGGUUCUUGGCUCGAUCCGCCAGAAGCUGUGUGGUACUAGAGGUACACCAGAUGUGAUAAUAGGGACCGCAGAGUGAGGUGUAGCCCCUCCCAGGACCGAAAACCCCAGAUAUAUUUGAUGCUUGGUUUUGAACGAUUUAAACUGCUUUAAAGGUUAAAAUAGAGAAUACAAUGGAAUACUUGCAUAAAAUUGCUUUACGCUUAAAACUAAACCAUAAAGCGUUGUCCUUGUUUCAUCCCUUAUGCAUCUAUCAAACACUUUGAAGUAGUAUAAGACUUGCUGACUACCUUUCGUACUCAUUCUUGUUGUCAUUCAAAUGAAGAAACUGA
This is a long non-coding RNA of Phragmites australis (common reed), 2921 nucleotides long. RefSeq lists it as uncharacterized. Lineage: Eukaryota; Viridiplantae; Streptophyta; Magnoliopsida; Poales; Poaceae. The record is from RefSeq and is a predicted model, not a curated record. The transcript has 3 exons.